RNAcentral lists this ribosomal RNA (265 nucleotides) under uncultured archaeon. Its description in RNAcentral is "partial 16S ribosomal RNA". It matches the Rfam family "Archaeal small subunit ribosomal RNA", at positions 719 to 982 of the family's 1478-position model. The record is from RNAcentral.
ACACGACUACACUAGAUACCCGUGUAGUCCUAGCCGUAAACGAUACUCGCUAGGUGUCGGCCACGGUGCGACCGUUGUCGGUGCCGUAGGGAAGCCGUGAAGCGAGCCACCUGGGAAGUACGGCCGCAAGGCUGAAACUUAAAGGAAUUGGCGGGGGAGCACAACAACGGGUGGAGCUUGCGGUUUAAUUGGAUUCAACGCCGGAAAUCUUACCGGGACCGACAGCAACAUGAAGGCCAAGCUGAAGACUUUGCCGGAUUAGCUG